UCUUGCUUUUGGCAACAAAUGUCAAGAAAUGUAGCGUGUAACAAGCGGCUAUUGUAACUGUAUGCACACGUAAGUCUCAAUGAACGGAGCUCCGUGCCAUGGAGGGUGCUAGUCCCGUGUCGUGUGCUACAAGUGUUAUGAUGAACGUUUGUAGAGAGUCAGGUUGUUUGAGAGCGCAACCUAAAUCCGGUGGUAUACUCCAUCGAAGGCUAAAUAUGGCUACGAGACCGAUAGCGAACAAGUACUGUGAAGGAAAAUUGAAAAGCACUUUGAAGAGAGGGCGAAAUAGUACGUGAAACCGUUCAGAGGGAAGCUGAUGGGCCCUCGAAGAAUGUAAUGAAUUUAUCUAUUAAAUUGCAUGCAUUCGGUAUAGAUAUUUGGUGUGUGAUUUCGGUCAUGUAUNUGAUAUUUNUAUUUGAAUGUUGUUUAAUGGUGCACUUUUCAUNACACAACGCUACCAAUAUUGAUUUAGNGCGCCCGUACUUGUACGCGAGUCCUUGUCAAUUCUUCGGAUUUGUACGAGAUGCUACGUACAUUAGUGCGCGAGUGAAAUUGCGGCAUUUGUCAAUAUUACAGGCAUUUAUUGUCGGUAGCGAGUAGAUGGUAACCCAUCCAUCCCGUCUUGAAACACGGACCAAGGAGUUUAACAUUUGCGCGAGUCGUUGGGCUUAACGCCUNAAGGCUUAGUGAAAGCAAGUUGGUGAGAUCUUACUUUAGUGAGCGCAUCACCGGCCUGCACUUAACUUCGGUUUUGUGCAGAGUAAGAGCGUAAACGUUAAGACCCGAAAGAUGGUGAACUAUGCCUGAGCAGGAUGAAGCCAGGGGAAACUCUGGUGGAAGUCCGUAGCGAUUCUGACGUGCAAAUCGAUCGUCUGACUNGGGUAUAGGGGCGAAAGACUAAUCGAACUAUCUAAUAGCUGGUUCCCUCCGAAGUUUCCCUCAGGAUAGCUGGCGCAUAUUGACGGCAGUCUCUCCCGGUAAAGCGAAUGAUUAGAGGUCUUGGGAUCGAAACGAUCUCNNCCUAUUCUCAAACUAUAAAUAGGUGAGAAGUUUGGCUUGCUUAA
RNAcentral lists this ribosomal RNA (1064 nucleotides) under Halechiniscus churakaagii. RNAcentral describes it as "eukaryotic LSU rRNA". It matches the Rfam family "Eukaryotic large subunit ribosomal RNA", at positions 115 to 1094 of the family's 3401-position model. Lineage: Eukaryota; Metazoa; Tardigrada; Heterotardigrada; Arthrotardigrada; Halechiniscidae. The record is from RNAcentral.